Molecule: ribosomal RNA, 465 nt
Filed under: uncultured bacterium
Lineage: Bacteria
Description: partial 16S ribosomal RNA
Rfam family: Bacterial small subunit ribosomal RNA
Source: RNAcentral
GACGAACGCUGGCGGCGUGCUUAACACAUGCAAGUCGAACGGAAAGGCCCUGCUUGCAGGGUACUCGAGUGGCGAACGGGUGAGUAACACGUGGGUGAUCUGCCCUGCACUUCGGGAUAAGCCUGGGAAACUGGGUCUAAUACCGGAUAGGAGCCAUUUCUAGUGUGAUGGUUGGAAAGUUUUUUCGGUGUAGGAUGAGCUCGCGGCCUAUCAGCUUGUUGGUGGGGUAAUGGCCUACCAAGGCGGCGACGGGUAGCCGGCCUGAGAGGGUGGACGGCCACAUUGGGACUGAGAUACGGCCCAGACUCCUACGGGAGGCAGCAGUGGGGAAUAUUGCACAAGGGGCGCAAGCCUGAUGCAGCGACGCCGCGUGGGGGAUGACGGCCUUCGGGUUGUAAACUCCUUUCGCUAGGGACGAAGCUUUUUGUGACGGUACCUAGAUAAGAAGCACCGGCUAACUACGUG